AUGCCAGCAGCCGCGGUACCACCGGCAGCCCGAGUGAUGGCCGAUCUUAUUGGGCCUAAAGCGUCCGUAGCUGGCUGCGCCAGUCCGUCGGGAAAUCCACCCGCCCAACGAGUGGGCGUCCGACGGAAACUGCACAGCUUGGGACCGGAAGGCUCGAAAGGUACGUUCGGGGUAGGAGUGAAAUCCCAUAAUCCCGCACGGACCACCGAUGGCGAAAGCACUUCGAGAAAACGGAUCCGACAGUGAGGGACGAAAGCCAGGGUCUCCAACCGGAUUAGAAACCCCGGUAGUCC
RNAcentral lists this ribosomal RNA (293 nucleotides) under uncultured bacterium. RNAcentral's name for it is "partial 16S ribosomal RNA". It matches the Rfam family "Archaeal small subunit ribosomal RNA", at positions 455 to 747 of the family's 1478-position model. The record is from RNAcentral.